Xiphophorus hellerii (green swordtail) is the source of this 1262-nucleotide long non-coding RNA. RefSeq lists it as uncharacterized. NCBI's taxonomy places the organism in Eukaryota, Metazoa, Chordata, Actinopteri, Cyprinodontiformes, Poeciliidae. The transcript has 2 exons. The record is from RefSeq and is a predicted model, not a curated record.
UGCCCACGGGUGUGUGCUCACAAUAGAAAAAAAAGGAGCAUGCAUUUCUUUUACGAUGGGUGUAGUAAUGGUGUUUCACCAGUAGGUGGCGCAUGGAGACUCUGAGCUGCCUGUUGCUGUGCCGUUUUUCUCAUAAGCUGAGAGAAAUUGGAGCAACACAGACUGCGUCUCCCAUGUGCUCAUUUUCAUACAUUUUUCAGGUGUGGGGAACCACAGACCUGCCCUCCAGGACCUGAAGCAGACAUGAGAGAGACCAAAGCCACAGACAUCCAGAGGGCCCCUGAGCAUGAAGCCCUGGGAGCAUCAUCACAGAGAUAACCGCAUCCCACCUUCCAGAGCGGAGCAGAGGAGAGCCCUGGAGGAACCCCCCAGCAGCCAAAAUGCAGAUGCCUCAGGGGCCACAGUGACAAGCCCCCAGGCUCCACUGGCAACCAACUAUGCUAGAGAAGAUCCGUCCAUGGGCACAGAGACCCACCACACCCCAGUAGACCGAGAACUCACAUACCCAUGCCCCAAACCUUGAACACUGAGACUCAUGAACACAAGGAGUGGCAACAGCCCCUGAAUGGGGGGCGGUGAACCCCAUAUGUAAAGGGGUGUUUAAUAUUUAAACACCCAAGAUGAUCCAGGAAAGGGGGCAGUGUAAGACCCAAACUAAUAGAUAAACAACCACACUCAAAUACAACAACACAUUCCCACCCUCAUGUGUACACAUUCCCACCCCACGCCCACUCACCCAAAGUAACCCCACACAAAUGUGGACCACUUUGAUUUUUCUUUAACACCAACCCUUGCCAGUGCACCCCCACAGCUCAGCCUCAUCUUCCCCCUCCCUCUCUACCUCCUUGUUGUCAUAUGACCGCUGUUAUGUGUGUGCAAUGGAACACAAAGUUUCUCUGUUAGUCCCCUCUGCUCUGUCCUCUCAUCACUCAGAUUUGAGAGCUGGAAGUAAGGCCGUCUCGCUCAGCAGCUAUGGGAAAACAGACAGGCCCCUGUGUGCAAGUACCAGCAAUGAUUAGAAAGGAGGGCAAAGAGACAGGGAGGGAUGAAUUGAGCCCAUGUUGUUUUUAUGUAACACCAAAAGAUAACCUAAUCCUUGUUUGUUCACACAGAUCCCACCCACUGCCAGUCCUAAGAUUUAGUUCAAUUCAAUAGGUGGCCAUCCAUGUGGAUCUUUAGCUGUUGUACUGCCUUGUAAAAGUGUUUAUGACUCUUGAACUUUUUAAGAGUUUGUCCAAUAAAAAUCUAAAUUUUGCUCUCCA